UAAAUUCAGAGGGAGUAGCUGAUAAUUCAUUCCCCAAAAUACAACCCCAAUAAGAUUAAUCAUCAAUUGUAAUUUUCAUCAUUAAAAUCCAUAAAAUUCCUCACUUUCGAACCACCACCACCACCACACAAAAACCCAACACCACCACCCCCUCUCUCGCCGUCCUUCUCCCCACACCCAACUCCCCUGCGUCCCUCUCCUCCAUGCAACCACCACCGUCGUUUUCUGCCGGCCGCCACCUUCGCCCCGAAAUCCGACCACCUCCUUUUACGGGUUCCGACCAGAAGUCCCACCCAGCAGUAGCCUGUUCUCCUUCUCUCUUUCUUUGCUUAUCGGCUUUGCAACAGUGCCGACCGGGGCGACAGAUGCGAAUAGUGGCAAGGAUUUCGUCUUAUUAGGGAUCGCCUAGUUUAAGCUUAAUUUGUACUAAGUUCAAGUAAGAAUUUUCUACUAAGUUAUGUAAGUCACUUUUGAAUAUUAAUAUAGAACAUAGUUAUAUUAGUUUUAUAAAA
Molecule: long non-coding RNA, 512 nt
Organism: Spinacia oleracea (spinach)
Lineage: Eukaryota; Viridiplantae; Streptophyta; Magnoliopsida; Caryophyllales; Amaranthaceae
Exons: 2
Source: RefSeq, a predicted model, not a curated record